Molecule: ribosomal RNA, 586 nt
Filed under: Escherichia coli
Lineage: Bacteria; Pseudomonadati; Pseudomonadota; Gammaproteobacteria; Enterobacterales; Enterobacteriaceae
Description: bacterial LSU rRNA
Rfam family: Bacterial large subunit ribosomal RNA
Source: RNAcentral
UGGUGGGUAGUUUGACUGGGGCGGUCUCCUCCUAAAGAGUAACGGAGGAGCACGAAGGUUGGCUAAUCCUGGUCGGACAUCAGGAGGUUAGUGCAAUGGCAUAAGCCAGCUUGACUGCGAGCGUGACGGCGCGAGCAGGUGCGAAAGCAGGUCAUAGUGAUCCGGUGGUUCUGAAUGGAAGGGCCAUCGCUCAACGGAUAAAAGGUACUCCGGGGAUAACAGGCUGAUACCGCCCAAGAGUUCAUAUCGACGGCGGUGUUUGGCACCUCGAUGUCGGCUCAUCACAUCCUGGGGCUGAAGUAGGUCCCAAGGGUAUGGCUGUUCGCCAUUUAAAGUGGUACGCGAGCUGGGUUUAGAACGUCGUGAGACAGUUCGGUCCCUAUCUGCCGUGGGCGCUGGAGAACUGAGGGGGGCUGCUCCUAGUACGAGAGGACCGGAGUGGACGCAUCACUGGUGUUCGGGUUGUCAUGCCAAUGGCACUGCCCGGUAGCUAAAUGCGGAAGAGAUAAGUGCUGAAAGCAUCUAAGCACGAAACUUGCCCCGAGAUGAGUUCUCCCUGACUCCUUGAGAGUCCUGAAGGAACGUU